ACAGUCACACAUUAGAUACCCGUGUAGUCCCAGCCCUAAACGAUGCGCGUUAGGUGUAUCGGUGACCACGAGUCACCGAGGUGCCGAAGGGAAACCGUGAAACGUGCCGCCUGGGAAGUACGGUCGCAAAGGCUGAAACUUAAAGGAAUUGCGGGGAGCACCACAAGAGGUGGAGGCUGCGGUUCAAUUGGACUCAACGCCGGAAAACUCAUCGGGAGCGACAGCAGUAUGAUUGCCAGGUUGAUGACCUUGCUUGACAAGCUG
RNAcentral lists this ribosomal RNA (264 nucleotides) under uncultured archaeon. RNAcentral's name for it is "partial 16S ribosomal RNA". It matches the Rfam family "Archaeal small subunit ribosomal RNA", at positions 719 to 982 of the family's 1478-position model. The record is from RNAcentral.